GGGGAAGGAUGAGAAGCUUCGACUAAGGUUCGACUCGAGCGAAGCGAGAGAACGUUGCCGCAGGCAACGGCCCGAAGGGCGAGGCGCUUUAGCGCCGAGUAAUCCUUCCCCCACCACUG
This 119-nucleotide small RNA is filed under the name Klebsiella pneumoniae. RNAcentral's name for it is "RtT sRNA". It matches the Rfam family "RtT RNA". From Rfam's summary of the family: This family represents a bacterial cis-regulatory element known as RtT RNA. Lineage: Bacteria; Pseudomonadati; Pseudomonadota; Gammaproteobacteria; Enterobacterales; Enterobacteriaceae. The record is from RNAcentral.